AUGGCCAUUCGGGAGGAGGUGCACAGAAAGAAUCCUAGAGUCAAGGAUAAGAGCCUUCGGCAUACGCCUGUGAGAGUGUAUGCGGUCCGGUAUCUCGACGAGACGAUGGUUGUGACGUCCGGGUCGAAGAUGCUCACACUUGAGGUCAGAGAUAGGAUCCUCACAGUGUUGGAGAGGGGCUUGGAGGUGAAGCUUGACAGGUUUGGUAGCUCAGUGCACAGUGCAAUGUCAGAGAAGAUGGAAUUCCUGGGGAUGGAGUUCCAAGCUGUGCCGCCAUCAGUCUUACACCCUCCCAUGUCUGAGAAGGCCAAGAGGGCAAGAAAGAUGUAUCUGAAGAGGAAGGCAGCAGAGGCACAGGAGCUGAAGAAUGCCCGGGAGACACGGAGGAAGAAGCUUGGGUUGAAGAUACUGAACCACCUGUUCAAGAAGGUGAGGCGUGGGCAUGAGUUCGAGUUGGGCUUCCGAAUUGAGGAUGAAGUGUCCCAGGAGUUCAAGGGUUGGGCAGAGGAGACAGUGGUCGAAUACUUCAAGUCACAGGAGCAUCGCCGUUAUUGGCACCGAUUGUUCACAUCCGGUGACUUCUUUUCACUAAAUAGGGUUAGGGAUCAGUUGCCACCAGCAUUGGUGGACUCCUAUGAUCAAUUACAGGAAACACUCGACAGGUUCUUGAUGCCGAGGAGGGGCCACGGCAUGAGUGAGGAUGAGGAGAUGCUAACAGAGGAGGAGGAUGAGAGACAGUACGAGAAGAGGAUUGUUGAGGACUUGACAGAGUUGAAGAUGAGAGUCAAUGCACCAAUAGAGCUUGUAAGAAAGGCAGUAAAGUUGGCUGGGUUCACAAAUUCCAUGGGACGGCCACGGCCAAUAAAGCUACUCAUCUGUCUGGACGAUGCAGAUAUUAUCAAAUGGUAUGCUGGUGUGGGGAGGAGGUGGCUAGAUUUCUUCUGCUGCUGUCGAAAUUUCAAGAUGGUCAAGAUUGUUGUGAGUUACCACUUGAGGUUCUCCUGCUUCUUGACAUUGGCGGAGAAGCAUGAGUGCACCAAGAGGCAAGCAAUUAGCCAUUAUACAAAGGAUUUGAAGGUGACAAAUGAAAAUGGAGUGGCAGAAGUGUACUUCCCAACAGAGAGGGAGAUCAAGAUGAUGGGUGAUAAGAAUCUCUCUGAUCCAAAGCCUGUAGAUGGAGCCUUGACAAUGAUCUUGGUCAGAUUGGCAGUCGAUGACACCUCCCUUUCGUGCCUGGCACAUUUUUGUGCUGGAACAGAAACUGCCCUUUACCGAAUACGUCUUCUGCAGAAUCGCCUAAAUGUAGACCCUUUGAAUGAAAAGAAGUGGGUCCAAGGACUAAGUGCCAUUCAUGAGAGUCUGAACAAGAAAUGCCUCCCACUGUGCUCCAUGCAUGCAAGCGAUCUACUUCUUGGCAAGAUUACUCUCCAAGAUAUUGAUUGUACUCAGUUUGUUGAUGUGAUGUGA
This 1467-nucleotide ribosomal RNA is filed under the name Triticum aestivum (bread wheat). RNAcentral describes it as "partial small subunit ribosomal RNA". The record is from RNAcentral. Lineage: Eukaryota; Viridiplantae; Streptophyta; Magnoliopsida; Poales; Poaceae.